Molecule: long non-coding RNA, 726 nt
Organism: Brassica oleracea var. oleracea
Lineage: Eukaryota; Viridiplantae; Streptophyta; Magnoliopsida; Brassicales; Brassicaceae
Exons: 3
Source: RefSeq, a predicted model, not a curated record
UUUUGUUUUCCACUUUUUUUUCGUUAAUCUAACAGAUCUGUUGUCUCUCUAACCUCUUUCUUCAUCCCCAGUAACACAAUCUUUUUCUUCAUCCCCGUCUCUCAAUAUCCUUCUCCACUCAACACUACAGAUCCAUGUCUAUCAUCGUCACCUCUUCUCCACCCUGGUCAAACUUGCCGCACGUCUACUCGUCACGGAUCUCGACCUGCCGCCGAGCUCCCCAACUCCGCUGUCGCCAUCUUCCGCUUUACUUCCCUCCUCUCUUCUUCGUUGCUGGAGAUAGAUGGAGGAGCCGAGAUCGUUUCUUGUACGAGUAACACCUCGUCAUCUCAUUCAAACUACUUGCAGUCUCUUUUGAAGUAAGUUCAAAGCUGCUAUUUAAGCUUACUGUGAUACUGUAAACAAGACUGAGGAACAUAUUUGGAAGCGUAUCAGUGGACGCCGCUUCCUCAAUAAACUUGAGGAGAAGGAACGAGAGAAAGAGUCUGGAUGUAUUCUGAGAGGAAGGUGGAGUAACUCUGGCGAAGGAGACUGCUGUAAAGGAAGCGAAGGAGAAUUAAAAGGGAAAGAAGAAGAAGAAUAAGAGGAAGCUUGAGUGCGGUGGAGAAUGAAGAAAAACUUGGUUUGGUUGCUGUAUUAGGUUUAGAUAGGUUUAACUAUAGUGAAUUGGUUUAGUUAGGUUAGUUAAUAAACCAAUUUCUAAUUGUAAACAAUGUUGGAUAAUUA